AAAAGGUUCAAGUUCC
Molecule: transfer RNA, 16 nt
Filed under: Cucurbita moschata (crookneck pumpkin)
Lineage: Eukaryota; Viridiplantae; Streptophyta; Magnoliopsida; Cucurbitales; Cucurbitaceae
Description: partial tRNA-Leu
Source: RNAcentral